UGCCUCAGUAACGGCGAGUGAAGCGGCAAGAGCUCAAAUUUGAAAGCUGGCUCCUUCGGGGUCCGCAUUGUAAUUUGCAGAGGAUGCUUCGGGUGCGGCCCCUGUCUAAGUGCCCUGGAACGGGCCGUCAGAGAGGGUGAGAAUCCCGUCUGGGAUGGGGUGUCCGCGCCCGUGUGAAGCUCCUUCGACGAGUCGAGUUGUUUGGGAAUGCAGCUCUAAAUGGGUGGUAAAUUUCAUCUAAAGCUAAAUACUGGCCGGAGACCGAUAGCGCACAAGUAGAGUGAUCGAAAGAUGAAAAGCACUUUGAAAAGAGAGUUAAAAAGCACGUGAAAUUGUUGAAAGGGAAGCGCUUGCGACCAGACUCGCCUCCAGGGUUCAGCCGGCAUUCGUGCCGGUGUACUUCCCUGGGGGCGGGCCAGCGUCGGUUUGGGCGGCCGGUCAAAGGCUCCCGGAAUGUAGUGCCCUCCGGGGCACCUUAUAGCCGGGAGUGCAAUGCGGCCAGCCUGGACCGAGGAACGCGCUUCGGCACGGACGCUGGCAUAAUGGUCGUAAACGAC
This 557-nucleotide ribosomal RNA is filed under the name Aspergillus sp. fv2. RNAcentral describes it as "eukaryotic LSU rRNA". It matches the Rfam family "Eukaryotic large subunit ribosomal RNA", at positions 76 to 648 of the family's 3401-position model. Lineage: Eukaryota; Fungi; Ascomycota; Eurotiomycetes; Eurotiales; Aspergillaceae. The record is from RNAcentral.